This 486-nucleotide ribosomal RNA is filed under the name uncultured bacterium. Its description in RNAcentral is "partial 16S ribosomal RNA". It matches the Rfam family "Bacterial small subunit ribosomal RNA", at positions 30 to 507 of the family's 1533-position model. The record is from RNAcentral.
AUUGAACGCUGGCGGCAUGCCUUACACAUGCAAGUCGAACGGCAGCACGGGUGCUUGCCCCUGGUGGCGAGUGGCGAACGGGUGAGUAAUACAUCGGAACAUGUCCUUUAGUGGGGGAUAGCCCGGCGAAAGCCGGAUUAAUACCGCAUACGAUCCACGGAUGAAAGCGGGGGACCUUCGGCCCUCGCGCUAUAGGGUUGGCCGAUGGCUGAUUAGCUAGUUGGUGGGGUAAAGGCCUACCAAGGCGACGAUCAGUAGCUGGUCUGAGAGGACGACCAGCCACACUGGGACUGAGACGCGGCCCAGACUCCUACGGGAGGCAGCAGUGGGGAAUUUUGGACAAUGGGCGAAAGCCUGAUCCAGCAAUGCCGCGUGUGUGAAGAAGGCCUUCGGGUUGUAAAGCACUUUUGUCCGGAAAGAAAUCCUUGGCUCUAAUACAGUCGGGGGAUGACGGUACCGGAAGAAUAAGCACCGGCUAACUACGUG